GGCGGCCGCUCACCUCUACGACAACAGUCUGCAGACCCCCCGUGUGGGCAGAGCCCGACCCCCAGGCCUCUGCUCGCGACACAAAGGCAGCUUCUAGGUCGUGGGAUGUGCCUCCUGCCAUCCGCCAGUGCCCGACCCUCACGCUUCCUUUGUGGAGAAGGGAAAAAAGAUCACACUUAAGCAAAAGUAAACCACAGCCUGAUACUGUGCCAACAACAUUAACCAACUUCUCCUCGGCGCCUUUGAAGUCAGCGGGGGGCAGCACACUUGUGGCGCAAGGAAAGAACGAUCCUGCGGGUUUUCUGCUGCGCCGUCGCCGGCUCGGGUCACGGGGGCUCCAGCCCGGAUUUCGCCCUUCUCCACACCUGGCCCCAAGCGCGACCGAAGCCGUCAUCCCUUGGGGGCCGAAGGAGAGCGCUGACGCAGGUGAGCGGGAAGUGAAGCCUCAGGAAAGCGAGAGCAGAAACGGGAGCGAGGUCGGGCAGGGCAGCGUCAGGCGGGGAGGCAUCUUCUCCUGCGCUACGGCGGCCUAUUGAUCCGCAACGUUGGAGAAGCCCGUGACAAGCAGGGCCCGGAGACCUUCGAGCUGGUGGGCCAAUAGCUCGGGAAGGAGGAGCUUGGUUAUCGCUGAGCACUACCGCUGGAGCAUUUGGAAGACAUCGCUGACAACGGUCUCGAGAAACAAGAAGGUCACCAGGUGACGGAGUCCCGCCCUUUGGGUUGCGGGCCAAGUAGCUGUAGGUUGUUCAAAGACAGCAGCACGGGCUGAGGAACAUACAAAGGCUUCUCGGGUGUUCCGAGGCUCGAUACUUUAUCUGACUUCCUAAAUACGGAGUUCUCUGUCCAAGUGUAAGUCCUGUGGGGCACGCGUGGGUAUCAGAGGUCCGAGACGGCCUCUGUUUUGGGAAAACAGCACCACACUGUUCUUGAGCCUUUAACGUGUCCUCUCUGCGUGCCUCUUUCCUAACACCUUCCCUCCUUGUCCAAAAUCCUUCUGCCUCUUGCCUACGAAAACUAGGCUCUCGUGGAAGGUUUGGGGCCAAAGGUCCGGCUAUAAGACAGGGAAACCGGGUCCAGACACGAACGGAGAUUUGCGUCUGCAGGAGCCGCAGGUGAUAACACAACCUUAAAGUAGCAAGGGCUGCUCCCCCACUGUGUUUCCCGGUCCUUACGUUUAGGAAGGCCGUCUAAUAACCCGAGCGCCAAAUGCAGGCCAGACAGCCUGUCUCUCCCGGACGGCGGGGUGAAGAGGGGAACGUCAAGCCAGACGCUAAUAGAGAAUCCUUCGGGCCGCGAGUGCACUUGCAAAGGGGCUGAGGGAAGUAGGUCAGGAUGAAGGCACUGCGGCCUCCCGUGGAUUCAUUGUGACAAAAAUAGCUCCGCGGGGCUUUCAUCGAGAGCACCUGCCUGUUCAUUCAGACACCGGAGCCACAACUCCGAGGAAGCUCCUGGAAAUGAAAUACUGGUUAGUCCACAGGCCCCAUCAAAAUGUGAGUCAACGGGCAGAACUCUCCAAGUUCUCAGAUGUGACAAUGC
Molecule: long non-coding RNA, 1536 nt
Filed under: Felis catus (domestic cat)
Lineage: Eukaryota; Metazoa; Chordata; Mammalia; Carnivora; Felidae
Description: lncRNA (ENSFCAG00000048301.1)
Source: RNAcentral